ACUUGUGCUGUUUCUCACCCUUUGACACCCUCCCCAGUGCACUAUCUCAGCGGUUCAUAUAUAAGGGUAUCCUGAUCAUGGACAGAGGUUAAAAUUUCCUCAUCCACUCUUUUCCAUCUUUCCCAAAUCAAUCAUCUUUAUCUUGUGGAAAAUGCUACCCAAGUUUUGCUCUGCAUGAUCAAUUAACCCUAUUUAUAAAAUGCACCUUUUACUUUAGGUUUAACUUUGUGAAAUGAACCUUCAAACCUUUUUCUAUUUGAAACAAUAGAAAAGAAAAUAUAUCUCUCACUCACACAUACACACUUUCACACACGAGAUAAUUCUUAGAACAAACAAAAAUAAUCCUGAGGUAGAGAUAGUUUCUGAACGUACUAGAGUAAGAAGAUAAACAUCACAUUAGGAAUUUGGCCCCUACCUCACUGGCUAAAACUGAAAAGUGAAAGUAUUAGUUGUUCAGUCCUGUCCAACUCUUUGCAACCCCAUGGACGGUAGCCCACCAGGCUCCUUUGUCCAUGAGAUUCUCCAGGCAAGAACACUGGNNNNNNNNNNNNNNNNNNNNNNNNNNNNNNNNNNNNNACCCAGGGAUUGAACCCAGGUCUCCCACAUUACAGGCAAAUUCUUUACCAUCUGAGCCAGCAGGGAAUCCCCACCUCACUGGCUAUGUUUCAUUAUAAAAGAAUUAGGUUUCUAUAAAAAAAUGUUUUGAUCACAGAAUGCUGGAAAAGUUCUGGUUUCCUUUUCACUCAUCUGUCUUCCAUAUCAAUAAAGCAUGGGUCAUAGACUUUACACGGCCUGUUUUCUGGAAAACAACUCUGGCACACAAAGCUUGGAGGAGAAAAGAGGAGACCAGAGAGGAGAGCCAGCUUCACUGAGUCAGAGGCUGAGGAAGGGACUGUGGGAAAAAGAACUGGCCCCCAGGGCCUUCGAAUGCAGCCACUCUUCCAAGCCUCACAUUUAUCCUGCAGGAAGGAAGGGGCUGAGCCCUGCUGCCACCAGAGAAGAUGAAUCAGGAUCCCUUCGGGCAGGAACAGCCACAUCCACACCCGCCCCCCCCUCUGCUCCCACUUGCCAAAGCCAAAGGAUGGAUUUCAAAGGGUUAGAUAUGGCAAGUCACCAACCAAUCAAUCCACAUGUUGCUUUUUACAGGGAAAAUAAUUUAAUUUUUUAA
RNAcentral lists this long non-coding RNA (1168 nucleotides) under Capra hircus (goat). RNAcentral's name for it is "lncRNA (ENSCHIG00010016049.1)". The record is from RNAcentral. Lineage: Eukaryota; Metazoa; Chordata; Mammalia; Artiodactyla; Bovidae.